AAUGGACGAAAGUCUGACGGAGCAACGCCGCGUGAGUGAUGAAGGUUUUCGGAUCGUAAAGCUCUGUUGCCAGGGAAGAACGUCCGUUAGAGUAACUGCUAACGGAGUGACGGUACCUGAGAAGAAAGCCCCGGCUAACUACGUGCCAGCAGCCGCGGUAAUACGUAGGGGGCGAGCGUUGUCCGGAAUUAUUGGGCGUAAAGCGCGCGCAGGCGGCUGUUUAAGUCUGGUGUUUAAUCCUGGGGCUCAACCCCGGGUCGCACUGGAAACUGGACAGCUUGAGUGCAGAAGAGGAGAGUGGAAUUCCACGUGUAGCGGUGAAAUGCGUAGAGAUGUGGAGGAACACCAGUGGCGAAGGCGACUCUCUGGGCUGUAACUGACGCUGAGG
This 388-nucleotide ribosomal RNA is filed under the name Salmonella enterica subsp. enterica serovar Paratyphi A. RNAcentral describes it as "partial 16S ribosomal RNA". It matches the Rfam family "Bacterial small subunit ribosomal RNA", at positions 370 to 751 of the family's 1533-position model. RNAcentral also lists the same sequence under 1 other name. Lineage: Bacteria; Pseudomonadati; Pseudomonadota; Gammaproteobacteria; Enterobacterales; Enterobacteriaceae. The record is from RNAcentral.